CGGGAGGCAGCAGUCGGGAAUUUUGCUCAAUGGGCGCAAGCCUGAAGCAGCAACGCCGCGUGAGGGAUGAAUGCCCUCGGGUUGUAAACCUCUUUUCUCAGGGACGAUGAUGACGGUACCUGAGGAAUAAGUCACGGCUAACUACGUGCCAGCAGCCGCGGUAAUACGUAGGUGACCAGCGUUGUCCGGAUUUACUGGGCGUAAAGAGCGCGCAGGCGGUCGUUCAAGUCGAGUGUGAAAGCCCCCGGCUCAACUGGGGAGGGUCACUCGAUACUGAUCGACUUGAAGGCAGGAGAGGGAAGCGGAAUUCCCGGUGUAGUGGUGAAAUGCGUAGAUAUCGGGAGGAACACCAGUGGCGAAGGCGGCUUCCUGGCCUGUUCUUGACGCUGAGGCGCGAAAGCUAGGGGAGCAAACGGGAUUAGAUACCCCGGUAGUCCUAGCCGUAAACGAUGGACACUAGGUGUUGGUGGUAUCAACCCCACCAGUGCCGAAGCUAACGCAUUAAGUGUCCCGCCUGGGGAGUACGGCCGCAAGGCUAAAACUCAAAGGAAUUGACGG
This 558-nucleotide ribosomal RNA is filed under the name uncultured bacterium. Its description in RNAcentral is "bacterial SSU rRNA". It matches the Rfam family "Bacterial small subunit ribosomal RNA", at positions 342 to 916 of the family's 1533-position model. The record is from RNAcentral.